GAUGAACGCUGGCGGCGUGCUUAACACAUGCAAGUCGAACGGAAAGGCUCCUGCUUGCAGGGGCACUCGAGUGGCGAACGGGUGAGUAACACGUGGGUGAUCUGCCCUGCACUUCGGGAUAAGCCUGGGAAACUGGGUCUAAUACAGGAUAGGACCAUCGCUUAGUGUCGGUGGUGGAAAGUUUUUUCGGUGUGGGAUGAGCUCGCGGCCUAUCAGCUUGUUGGUGGGGUAUUGGGCUACCAAGGCGGCGACGGGUAGCCGGCCUGGGAGGGUGUACGGCCACAUUGGUCCUGAGAUACGGCCCAGACUCCUACGGGAGGCAGCAGUGGGGAAUAUUGCACAAUGGGCGCAAGCCUGAUGCAGCGACGCCGCGUUGGGGAUGACGGCCUUCGGGUUAUAAACUCCUUUCGCCAGAGACGAAGCGAAAGUGACGGUACCUGGAUAAGAAGCACCGGCUAACUACGUG
RNAcentral lists this ribosomal RNA (466 nucleotides) under uncultured bacterium. RNAcentral describes it as "partial 16S ribosomal RNA". It matches the Rfam family "Bacterial small subunit ribosomal RNA", at positions 28 to 507 of the family's 1533-position model. The record is from RNAcentral.